This 468-nucleotide ribosomal RNA is filed under the name uncultured bacterium. RNAcentral's name for it is "bacterial SSU rRNA". It matches the Rfam family "Bacterial small subunit ribosomal RNA", at positions 8 to 524 of the family's 1533-position model. The record is from RNAcentral.
AGAGUUCGAUCCUGGCUCAGAACGAACGCUGGCGGCAGGCCUAACACAUGCAAGUCGAGCGCGCCUUCGGGCGAGCGGCGGACGGGUUAGUAACGCGUGGGAACGUGCCCAGAUCUACGGAAUAGCCACUGGAAACGGUGAGUAAUACCGUAUACGCCCUUAGGGGGAAAGAUUUAUCGGAUUUGGAUCGGCCCGCGUUAGAUUAGGUAGUUGGUGGGGUAACGGCCUACCAAGCCUACGAUCUAUAGCUGGUUUUAGAGGAUGAUCAGCAACACUGGGACUGAGACACGGCCCAGACUCCUACGGGAGGCAGCAGUGGGGAAUCUUGGACGAUGGGGGAAACCCUGAUCCAGCCAUGCCGCGUGAGUGAAGAAGGCCCUAGGGUCGUAAAACUCUUUCGCCUGUGAUGAUAAUGACAGUAGCAGGUAAAGAAACCCCGGCUAACUCCGUGCCAGCCGCCGCGGUAAU